CCCUGCCAUUUGUACACACCGCCCGUCGCUCCUACCGUUGGAUUUGAAGGUGAGCUUGGUGGAUGUCACAUACAUUGCUUGCAAUGUAUACAGAAACCAAACAAACCUUCUUGUCUGUAGGAAGGAGAAGUCGU
Molecule: ribosomal RNA, 134 nt
Filed under: uncultured eukaryote
Lineage: Eukaryota
Description: partial small subunit ribosomal RNA
Rfam family: Eukaryotic small subunit ribosomal RNA
Source: RNAcentral